Non-coding RNA from Paramuricea clavata, 397 nucleotides. The record is from the annotation of a GenBank genome assembly. NCBI's taxonomy places the organism in Eukaryota, Metazoa, Cnidaria, Anthozoa, Malacalcyonacea, Plexauridae.
CAUGGUGGAAAAAUACAGUCGCCUUGCGAACAACUUUCCUACUUAAACAAUAUCUGUUUUCUAUAUUUUAGCUCACUGCAGCGAACAUCACAGUUAGCUGUCUUGGUAUCCUGAAGAUCGAGAACAGUUGUCGUUAUUGAGUGACAGAUUAUAACAGAACAUGUUUCUUAGAGAAUGUAAACUUUACACAUGUCAACUUUGCACUUGUCUGAUUGAUAACACUUGCCUAUGUUUACCUACCCUGGAUUCCAGAGCCUUCGACAGUAAAUAAUAAAUUGAAAUGUCGCGAAGGCUCUGGUUCAACGGGGCGAUUCUUUGAUUAAACCGCGCCAAUCACAAAACAGAAUUAGUGGUUUUAGUACAGAUUACAGAUUCUGUACUAAAACCACUAAUUCUG